GGGUUCCUAGCUCAAUUGGUAGAGCAACGGCCUUUUAAGCCGUGGGUUCUGGGUUCGAGUCCCAGGGGACCCACCA
Molecule: transfer RNA, 76 nt
Filed under: Candidatus Kerfeldbacteria bacterium
Lineage: Bacteria; Candidatus Kerfeldiibacteriota
Description: tRNA-Lys
Rfam family: tRNA
About the family: Transfer RNA (tRNA) molecules are approximately 80 nucleotides in length. Their secondary structure includes four short double-helical elements and three loops (D, anti-codon, and T loops).
Source: RNAcentral